GCUCAAAAAUAAUUUCCUUCGUUUUUUAUAACCUCAGUUUACUUUAUUGUAAAGCUAAAUUGAAAAAGAUAAAGUAUGCCAGUGCAUCAACCUCAAAGACGAGUCUGUCUGGAUGACUUUAACCGAUUUGAUGUCUGACUUACUGGUCUUAACUGAGUGCCUGAAUGAUCAUGAAAUGGAAUCACUGGCUAACUCUGAUUGAAUGACUGAAUUAAAGAGUAACCUUGUGACUGACGUAAUGAUAAGGAAGAAAUGCAGCUUUUGUUCUUAUUUUGGAUAAAGCCAAUGCAGAAAAUUUCCUUCCAAAAGACAAAAAACUUGGACAGUCACUCGUGGUUAGGGAAUACAAUGUAAUCCAAGUUAGCGUCCAUCUUUGUUUCCAUGGAGAAGCUACUUUCUGCUCUCUGGAGGAUCUGAAUGGUUAAAACUGGGAGCCACCAUUAAGUAUGAUAACUGGGACGACCUCUGAUAGAGUACCUGUGCUGACUUUAAAAACGAACUACAGUAAAAAUUACUGCAGAUGAUCACAAUUUUUAAACAGAAGAUCAAUGCAGAGGAUUGCAGAUUUCAU
This is a long non-coding RNA of Stylophora pistillata, 571 nucleotides long. The record is from RefSeq and is a predicted model, not a curated record. NCBI's taxonomy places the organism in Eukaryota, Metazoa, Cnidaria, Anthozoa, Scleractinia, Pocilloporidae.